Canis lupus familiaris (dog) is the source of this 83-nucleotide non-coding RNA. NCBI's taxonomy places the organism in Eukaryota, Metazoa, Chordata, Mammalia, Carnivora, Canidae. The record is from Rfam.
ACCUGGGUGGCUCAGUGGUUGAGCGUCUGCCUUUGGCUCAGGUUGUGAUCCUGGGGUCCCAGGAUCGAAUCCUGCAUCAGGUU